Molecule: non-coding RNA, 1694 nt
Organism: Rattus norvegicus (Norway rat)
Lineage: Eukaryota; Metazoa; Chordata; Mammalia; Rodentia; Muridae
Source: RefSeq, a predicted model, not a curated record
CCGCCACUGCCUCCGUGUGAAUGGGGUGCGAGGCAAACAUCAAGCCCGCCAUGAAAGUCCAGUAUCCGUCCCCAAGCAGGGCCUUGGAGAAGCGUGUGAAGAGGCCGGUGACGGCCGCGUGCAACAGGACAUUGACAAGAUGAACACUGGCAUCACAGAAGCAAGCUACAGAAGCCUCAGGGAUCAAACUCAGGUCAUCAGGCUUUUACCCCCGAGCCAUUGCUCCUGAAUACUGCCCAUACCUACCUAUAUGGAAGGAUGAGUAAUGGAGUCCUCACUUCUCUAUGGAUACAAAGUACCUUUACUUCCUGAUGACGUACACUUUGCGGGGAAGAACAACCCUUCUCAGCAAGGGCCAAGCAAGGAGCACAUCAAGCAGUGUCACUUCAGUGGAUAACAGAGACACUUGCUGGGUUUGCAGACCCAGCCCUGCUGAGCUAGGGGCCUUGUUAUUGCCUUUAGAAAACAGCUCCUACUUACUCUCAGCUCGUACAGAUUAGGACAAGGCUGCCCUCAGGACCCAAGGAAAAGUCUUGGAACCCUGUCCCUCAGUGCACUACAGCUCUUCAUCUCCAUCCCUGGCCACACAACUGAAUGAAUGGAGAGCCACACGAUCGAAGUCAACACAGUGCCAAUAAUCCACUGAGAACGGCUAUCGUAUUUUGAGAAUGAGAUGAAAUCCUGGCAUUGUUUGGAGGUGGGAUCUGUCUGAGAAUAAGGCCAACUUAUGUUAUCAGAAACCAGAGCAAACAGGGAAAGGGACCCUUUUGGGUAAAGUUGGAACCAGCUGUGCCCAAAGCCAACAGAUGCCGCUUCCUCCGAGAGACGUUAGUCUCUCUCACACACGCAAUCAACAGUGCUACACCGCAUAGCAUUCGUUAUUUACUUCCCCUAUAACAGCACGAUUGCUCUUUCCCUGCCUUCUAUUUGCUGAGACUGCAUCCACACACACUUUUCCUACAAACCAUCUCCAUCUUACACAGUCCCCACGUUCAAUGCUAUCGUCACUUCAUCACUGAACUGGAGGUUGCACAUGAGGGCCCCUUCUCUCUUUGCCUCUUCAUCUCUUCCUUAAAAUUGUUUAAGGAUAUUUUGAAGCUUUCCACCACAUCUGAAAAUCCCUUGAAUCCACCUUUUCUAUCUUUUCUAAAAUCCUUAUUCAGGCUUCCAUUAUUUUUAGCGUGUGCUACUCAGCAUGCUUACUAGACUUGCCUAGCCAUUUGGAUCCUCCCUUCGUUAGUCUAUAGGUCCCCUCAGGGACACAAUUAUGUCCCUUUCUUUCCGUGGCCAAUAUAUCCUAGCCAUGCAAUAAACAUUGCUAAAGGGAACUCAAUAGCUAUGCCUGCUGUCUGCCUUCUCACUUUGAUCCAUUAUGUAUGCUAGGAGCUAAAAACGUUCCAGAAAUAUAACUUGAAUUCCACCUUCACUCUCUAGAAAUCCCUUAUCGUGCCCUUUUCCUUUUCAUUAGAAAGAAAGACAAAGAAAGGAAGAAAGAAAGAAAGGAAGAAAGGAAGGAAGAAAGGAAGAAAGAAAGAAAGAAAGAAAGAAAGAAAGAAAGAAGGGAAGAAGGAAAGAAAGAAAGAAAGGAAGGAAGGAAGGAAGGAAAUCCCGUUACAGCCAGCAUUCACAACCUCCUAGGUCAAUCUCUUACUAUUUCUACAUAGACAUCCCAAUGUCAAUCAAUGUCCCCAGCA